CCUAACCCUAACCAUCACCACUAAAUGCCUAACCUUAACCCUUACCCUCACCCUAACCAUAACCUAAUUCUAACCCUAAUCCUAAAACCAAGUCUUAACCCUCAGACAGACCUUUAACCUUGGGGGGUCCAGCAUUUUGGCCCCACAAGGCUGUGCAGACCCCACAAGUACACUGGAUUCCAAGUUUUUGGACAAUACGAAUAUAGUUAAACAAGAACACACAGACACACACACACAGAGACACUGGAAUAAGUGGAAUAAACGUAUAAAUGUCCAAAUCUACACAAUAUGCGCAAUCAAUUAGUAAGCUGACAUCACAUUUAUAUACGUUGGCGCGGCAAGACAGUAGUUUUUGUUUUUUCCAGCGCCUCCACCUGCAGGUUGUGCUUUGGAAUGAAAGGGAGAAAGCUCCUUUACUGACAGACAGAUGUGUGUGUGUGUGUGUGUGUGUGUGUGUGUGUGUGUGUGUGUGUGUGUGUGUGUGUGUGUGUGUGUGUGUGUGUGUGUGUUGCAGGUUUGCAGCGUCCUCUGCAGAGCGUCUGCGAGUACAUCAGAGCGCCGUCAACUACCUCGGCCUCGCCUGCUACACUAAAGGAGCGCUGAGCAGCAUGUUUUAUCUGGCGCACGAGUUCCAUGACGACCUGAUCGGAGGAAUCCUGACCAACACCAACUGUGGAGGAGAGAACUGUAACCGUGGCGCGGCGCUCGGGGCGCUGCUCGGCGCCGGCGGUGCAUUCAGGGACACCGGCGUCCCGCGGGAGUGGAGAGCCAGGCUGAGAGACGCACGCCAGCUCAUCCCCGAAAUCCUGAAGGACAUGCAGCUCCAAACUACAAAAUAAAAGCCUCUACUUCCUGUUUACAAACUCAUUUUCAUUCCACUUCUUAUGUUAUUCUCUGAUUUUGAUGAUGUAUAUAUAUAUAUAUAUAUAUAUAUAUAUAUGUGUGUGUAAACUUUAAGCUUUAUCAGUCCUUAAAAGAACAAAUAAAGUUGUAAAGAUUUAAUGUAUUUAGUUG
This 1014-nucleotide long non-coding RNA is filed under the name Sander lucioperca (pikeperch). RNAcentral describes it as "lncRNA (ENSSLUG00000025005.1)". Lineage: Eukaryota; Metazoa; Chordata; Actinopteri; Perciformes; Percidae. The record is from RNAcentral.